CAGAACGAACGCUGGCGGCAUGCCUAACACAUGCAAGUCGAACGAGACCUUCGGGUCUAGUGGCGCACGGGUGCGUAACGCGUGGGAAUCUGCCCUUCGGUUGGGAAUAACACAGAGAAAUUUGUGCUAAUACCUUAUAAUGUCUUCGGACCAAAGAUUUAUCGCCGAGGGAUGAGCCCGCGUAGGAUUAGGUAGUUGGUGGGGUAAUGGCCUACCAAGCCGACGAUCCUUAGCUGGUCUGAGAGGAUGAUCAGCCACACUGGGACUGAGACACGGCCCAGACUCCUACGGGAGGCAGCAGUGGGGAAUAUUGGACAAUGGGCGAAAGCCUGAUCCAGCAAUGCCGCGUGAGUGAUGAAGGCCUUAGGGUUGUAAAGCUCUUUUACCAGGGAUGAUAAUGACAGUACCUGGAGAAUAAGCUCCGGCUAACUCCGUGCCAGCCGCCGCGGUAAUACA
This 456-nucleotide ribosomal RNA is filed under the name uncultured Sphingomonas sp. RNAcentral describes it as "bacterial SSU rRNA". It matches the Rfam family "Bacterial small subunit ribosomal RNA", at positions 25 to 527 of the family's 1533-position model. The record is from RNAcentral. Lineage: Bacteria; Pseudomonadati; Pseudomonadota; Alphaproteobacteria; Sphingomonadales; Sphingomonadaceae.